GGCUCCGUAGCCAAGCGGGAAGGCAAUGGUCUGCAACACCUUGAUCGUCGGUUCAAAUCCGACCGGAGCCUCCA
Molecule: transfer RNA, 74 nt
Filed under: Acholeplasma sp.
Lineage: Bacteria; Bacillati; Mycoplasmatota; Mollicutes; Acholeplasmatales; Acholeplasmataceae
Also listed under: 3 other names
Description: tRNA-Cys
Rfam family: tRNA
About the family: Transfer RNA (tRNA) molecules are approximately 80 nucleotides in length.
Source: RNAcentral